GAUGAACGCUGGCGGCGUGCCUAAUACAUGCAAGUAGAACGCUGAAGGAGGAGCUUGCUCUUUCCGGAUGAGUUGCGAACGGGUGAGUAACGCGUAGGUAACCUGCCUGGUAGCGGGGGAUAACUUUUGGAAACGAUAGCUAAUACCGCAUAACAGUAGAUAUUGUAUGAUAUUUGCUUGAAAGGGGCAUUUGCUCCACUACAAGAUGGACCUGCGUUGUAUUAGCUAGUGGGGGAGGUAACGGCUCACCAAGGCGACGAUACAUAGCCGACCUGAGAGGGUGAUCGGCCACACUGGGACUGAGACACGGCCCAGACUCCUACGGGAGGCAGCAGUAGGGAAUCUUCGGCAAUGGACGGAAGUCUGACCGAGCAACGCCGCGUGAGUGAAGAAGGUUUUCGGAUCGUAAAGCUCUGUUGUAAGAGAAGAACGAGUGUGAGAGUGGAAAGUUCACACUGUGACGGUAUCUUACCAGAAAGGGACGGCUAACUACGUG
RNAcentral lists this ribosomal RNA (496 nucleotides) under uncultured bacterium. RNAcentral describes it as "partial 16S ribosomal RNA". It matches the Rfam family "Bacterial small subunit ribosomal RNA", at positions 28 to 507 of the family's 1533-position model. The record is from RNAcentral.